GGUUAAGCGACUAAGCGUACACGGUGGAUGCCCUGGCAGUCAGAGGCGAUGAAGGACGUGCUAAUCUGCGAUAAGCGUCGGUAAGGUGAUAUGAACCGUUAUAACCGGCGAUUUCCGAAUGGGGAAACCCAGUGUGUUUCGACACACUAUCAUUAACUGAAUCCAUAGGUUAAUGAGGCGAACCGGGGGAACUGAAACAUCUAAGUACCCCGAGGAAAAGAAAUCAACCGAGAUUCCCCCAGUAGCGGCGAGCGAACGGGGAGCAGCCCAGAGCCUGAAUCAGUGUGUGUAUUAGUGGAAGCGUCUGGAAAGGCGCGCGAUACAGGGUGACAGCCCCGUACACAAAAAUGCACAUAUUGUGAGCUCGAUGAGUAGGGCGGGACACGUGGUAUCCUGUCUGAAUAUGGGGGGACCAUCCUCCAAGGCUAAAUACUCCUGACUGACCGAUAGUGAACCAGUACCGUGAGGGAAAGGCGAAAAGAACCCCGGCGAGGGGAGUGAAAAAGAACCUGAAACCGUGUACGUACAAGCAGUGGGAGCACGCUUAGGCGUGUGACUGCGUACCUUUUGUAUAAUGGGUCAGCGACUUAUAUUCUGUAGCAAGGUUAACCGAAUAGGGGAGCCGAAGGGAAACCGAGUCUUAACUGGGCGUUAAGUUGCAGGGUAUAGACCCGAAACCCGGUGAUCUAGCCAUGGGCAGGUUGAAGGUUGGGUAACACUAACUGGAGGACCGAACCGACUAAUGUUGAAAAAUUAGCGGAUGACUUGUGGCUGGGGGUGAAAGGCCAAUCAAACCGGGAGAUAGCUGGUUCUCCCCGAAAGCUAUUUAGGUAGCGCCUCGUGAAUUCAUCUCCGGGGGUAGAGCACUGUUUCGGCAAGGGGGUCAUCCCGACUUACCAACCCGAUGCAAACUGCGAAUACCGGAGAAUGUUAUCACGGGAGACACACGGCGGGUGCUAACGUCCGUCGUGAAGAGGGAAACAACCCAGACCGCCAGCUAAGGUCCCAAAGUCAUGGUUAAGUGGGAAACGAUGUGGGAAGGCCCAGACAGCCAGGAUGUUGGCUUAGAAGCAGCCAUCAUUUAAAGAAAGCGUAAUAGCUCACUGGUCGAGUCGGCCUGCGCGGAAGAUGUAACGGGGCUAAACCAUGCACCGAAGCUGCGGCAGCGACGCUGAUGCGUUGUUGGGUAGGGGAGCGUUCUGUAAGCCUGCGAAGGUGUGCUGUGAGGCAUGCUGGAGGUAUAAGAAGUGCGAAUGCUGACAUAAGUAACGAUAAAGCGGGUGAAAAGCCCGCUCGCCGGAAGACCAAGGGUUCCUGUCCAACGUUAAUCGGGGCAGGGUGAGUCGACCCCUAAGGCGAGGCCGAAAGGCGUAGUCGAUGGGAAACAGGUUAAUAUUCCUGUACUUGGUGUUACUGCGAAGGGGGGACGGAGAAGGCUAUGUUGGCCGGGCGACGGUUGUCCCGGUUUAAGCGUGUAGGCUGGUUUUCCAGGCAAAUCCGGAAAAUCAAGGCUGAGGCGUGAUGACGAGGCACUACGGUGCUGAAGCAACAAAUGCCCUGCUUCCAGGAAAAGCCUCUAAGCAUCAGGUAACAUCAAAUCGUACCCCAAACCGACACAGGUGGUCAGGUAGAGAAUACCAAGGCGCUUGAGAGAACUCGGGUGAAGGAACUAGGCAAAAUGGUGCCGUAACUUCGGGAGAAGGCACGCUGAUAUGUAGGUGAGGUCCCUCGCGGAUGGAGCUGAAAUCAGUCGAAGAUACCAGCUGGCUGCAACUGUUUAUUAAAAACACAGCACUGUGCAAACACGAAAGUGGACGUAUACGGUGUGACGCCUGCCCGGUGCCGGAAGGUUAAUUGAUGGGGUUAGCGCAAGCGAAGCUCUUGAUCGAAGCCCCGGUAAACGGCGGCCGUAACUAUAACGGUCCUAAGGUAGCGAAAUUCCUUGUCGGGUAAGUUCCGACCUGCACGAAUGGCGUAAUGAUGGCCAGGCUGUCUCCACCCGAGACUCAGUGAAAUUGAACUCGCUGUGAAGAUGCAGUGUACCCGCGGCAAGACGGAAAGACCCCGUGAACCUUUACUAUAGCUUGACACUGAACAUUGAGCCUUGAUGUGUAGGAUAGGUGGGAGGCUUGGAAGUGUGGACGCCAGUCUGCAUGGAGCCGACCUUGAAAUACCACCCUUUAAUGUUUGAUGUUCUAACGUUGACCCGUAAUCCGGGUUGCGGACAGUGUCUGGUGGGUAGUUUGACUGGGGCGGUCUCCUCCUAAAGAGUAACGGAGGAGCACGAAGGUUGGCUAAUCCUGGUCGGACAUCAGGAGGUUAGUGCAAUGGCAUAAGCCAGCUUGACUGCGAGCGUGACGGCGCGAGCAGGUGCGAAAGCAGGUCAUAGUGAUCCGGUGGUUCUGAAUGGAAGGGCCAUCGCUCAACGGAUAAAAGGUACUCCGGGGAUAACAGGCUGAUACCGCCCAAGAGUUCAUAUCGACGGCGGUGUUUGGCACCUCGAUGUCGGCUCAUCACAUCCUGGGGCUGAAGUAGGUCCCAAGGGUAUGGCUGUUCGCCAUUUAAAGUGGUACGCGAGCUGGGUUUAGAACGUCGUGAGACAGUUCGGUCCCUAUCUGCCGUGGGCGCUGGAGAACUGAGGGGGGCUGCUCCUAGUACGAGAGGACCGGAGUGGACGCAUCACUGGUGUUCGGGUUGUCAUGCCAAUGGCACUGCCCGGUAGCUAAAUGCGGAAGAGAUAAGUGCUGAAAGCAUCUAAGCACGAAACUUGCCCCGAGAUGAGUUCUCCCUGACUCCUUGAGAGUCCUGAAGGAACGUUGAAGACGACGACGUUGAUAGGCCGGGUGUGUAAGCGCAGCGAUGCGUUGAGCUAACCGGUACUAAUGAACCGUGAGGCUUAACCUU
Molecule: ribosomal RNA, 2904 nt
Filed under: Escherichia coli
Lineage: Bacteria; Pseudomonadati; Pseudomonadota; Gammaproteobacteria; Enterobacterales; Enterobacteriaceae
Description: 23S ribosomal RNA
Rfam family: Bacterial large subunit ribosomal RNA
Source: RNAcentral